GUGAGGAAUAUUGGUCAAUGGGCGGGAGCCUGAACCAGCCAAGUCGCGUGAAGGAAGAAGGAUCUAUGGUUCGUAAACUUCUUUUGCAGGGGAAUAAAGUGCAGGACGUGUCCUGUUUUGUAUGUACCCUGAGAAUAAGGAUCGGCUAACUCCGUGCCAGCAGCCGCGGUAAUACGGAGGAUCCGAGCGUUAUCCGGAUUUAUUGGGUUUAAAGGGUGCGUAGGUGGUUUGAUAAGUCAGCGGUGAAAGUUUGCAGCUUAACUGUAAAAAUGCCGUUGAAACUGUCGGACUUGAGUGUAAAUGAGGUAGGCGGAAUGCGUGGUGUAGCGGUGAAAUGCAUAGAUAUCACGCAGAACUCCGAUUGCGAAGGCAGCUUACUAAGCUACAACUGACACUGAAGCACGAAGGCGUGGGGAUCAAACAGGAUUAGAAACCCGUGUAGUCC
RNAcentral lists this ribosomal RNA (445 nucleotides) under uncultured bacterium. RNAcentral's name for it is "partial 16S ribosomal RNA". It matches the Rfam family "Bacterial small subunit ribosomal RNA", at positions 354 to 796 of the family's 1533-position model. The record is from RNAcentral.